Gorilla gorilla gorilla (western lowland gorilla) is the source of this 760-nucleotide long non-coding RNA. RefSeq lists it as uncharacterized. Lineage: Eukaryota; Metazoa; Chordata; Mammalia; Primates; Hominidae. The transcript has 5 exons. The record is from RefSeq and is a predicted model, not a curated record.
GUCUGAUCCUCUCCUCAAGACCUGGCAACAGCUAGCCAGGCUCCCACUGUUAAGGCUGCCAUUCCACAUGCUGUUCUCACCUCCAAGUUAGGUGGCUCUGGGAACAAGAGUCUAUCUCUCUGCGGCAGGAUAAUGAGCUUCAACCGAAACUGAAUGGAAUAAUAAUGAAACAGGUGCUUUUUAUGUAUAUCCUGAACUGUUACUGAACUCUCUGACUUCUGUAAAUGGGAUAAAAAUCCAUAGAGACUAAACUUGGGAUUCAGAAGUACAGAAAAUUAUGAAUCUACAGAAAAUUAUGAAUACAGAACCCAGCCACGAUGUCAUGAGAAAGCCUAGGCAGCCUGUGAAGAGGCCCACAGCCCACAACCCUGACUGAGCUUUCAGCUGACAGCCAACACCAACAUUCUAGCCAUACCAGAAAGCCCUAGAGGACAGAAAUCUGGGUAGUGCACAUAGUCCUGACACUCAUUUAUUUGAGACACUCAUCAUCAUGUUUUCAACUGUGAAGGAAGGGAGAAUGUUGUCGUUCUUGUAUCCUCGGAGUUCUGGAUGCUGAGAGAGCAUCUACAGCAACAAGCUGGAUGUGGCUGCAGUAUAUAAAUGAGGAUGAAAUUAGGGUAAUUUGGGCAGGAAGUCUACAAGGGAACAGAGCCAUCUGCAUGAGAUUAGUUCUUUAAGUGGGGAAAUCUUUGUGAAGAUUUCCUUUGAAUGGGGGUAAAGAAACACUGGGAUGGACAAUCAAAUACAGUUUUUGUUGUUG